This is a long non-coding RNA of Vicia villosa (hairy vetch), 1411 nucleotides long. RefSeq lists it as uncharacterized. The transcript has 6 exons. NCBI's taxonomy places the organism in Eukaryota, Viridiplantae, Streptophyta, Magnoliopsida, Fabales, Fabaceae. The record is from RefSeq and is a predicted model, not a curated record.
UAUUACCCAAAACAUUUAUGUUUCAUUCACUCUCUUUCUCCCUCUUUAUCGUCUAACCCUUUCCCCUCUCUCUGUUCUAUCUUUCUUUCAAAACCCUAAUCGCCGCCGCUGCCGCUAUCUCCAUAUCUCCACCACCGUGUACAUCCGAUUCACCGUUCAUCUUUCCAGGUUCACCGAAUCAGAUUCGUAAAGUCACAUUCUGCGACUGACACCUCCAACACCAUCUCUCAGCUCCGAUCUGCGCCGACGCACCUAGGAAUUCCCGGUUGCAGUUCUGCAUAAAGCUGAAGAUGUCACAAGAUUUAUAUAUCUUUACUCAUUUGGUAGGGUGGGAAACAAAGCAACAAAAUGCGAAGUGGAUGAGAAUUCCAAAUCAAAAUUUUUAGCCCAGCAGGUCUAUGACACUUGGGAGGUAAGGAUUAAGAUAUCAUUUCUUAUGUUCAUGUAAAUGUUCGUCUUGGGACUCCUCGGUCUUGUGAUUGAUCAGAAUCUGUAUUAUGCUGAGUUGAAAUUCACUCCUCCAACAUACUUAUGUGCUAUUAGCAAUAUUCUCCCUACAAUGACUUUUUUACACUUCAAAUCAUUGGGAACACUUCAAUCAAUUGCAGUUACAUUUGUUAUGGAGACUAAACCAAAUGUUUGGAACAUUGGUUAUGAUAUGAACCUACAUUUCUAUUUUGAACAUUGGUUGCCAUAGCUAAGGAAACUGGUAGGAGACUUGGUACGUUUUGUUUAUGAUAUGAACCUACAUUUCUAUCUUUCCAGGUUUAUAUUUGUUUAACUACUAACUAUUGUGACACGUUUGCCUUUUGUUCUUUCUUAUUUGCGAGAAUAUCUUAAAGCUGCUUUUUACUAAUGGAACCACUGUCACGAAGCUAAACAUUCCUUAAAUCCCAAAACACAAGUUCAUUUUCAAGCCUAUUGUUGAUUUGUUAACGGAAAAUUUUCAAGCUGGCCGUUUAUACGAGUUAAAUUUGGUGACAUGGAACGGGAAGCACUGCUUUGUAAAGCUCGCAAACUUAUGGGUCAAGGCUGCGAAAUCGAAGGGAACUGCGCCUGUUAUUGAUGUGACGCAACAUGGGUUCUUUAAGGUUCUUGGUAAGGGUGUUUUGCCGAGUAAUCAGCUGAUUGUUGUUAAGGCAAAGCUGAUUUCGGAGAUCGCGGAGAAGAAAAUUAAGGAGGCUGGUGGUGAUGUUGUUCUUAAUGCUUGGGUUUUUAUUUUGUUGCUUUUUUGAAAUUUUCAGUAAUUUGAUUUCCUACAUUUGUAUUUGAUCUUAUGUUGGUUAGCUUAAAUGGGUAUGUUUUGGAAUAUUACAUGUUUUGGUUAUAAUUAAAUUAUAUGCUUCUGAUAAAAAAAGUCCAGAUCAAGUUUAGAGUUGAUGGUGAAUGGAAAAUUUAUUUGUUACCGGCA